This 88-nucleotide unclassified non-coding RNA is filed under the name Pseudomonas trivialis. Lineage: Bacteria; Pseudomonadati; Pseudomonadota; Gammaproteobacteria; Pseudomonadales; Pseudomonadaceae. The record is from RNAcentral.
UGUGGGAGGGGGCUUGCUCCCGAUAGCGGUGGGUGAGGUGAAUUUCUCUGGCUGACACCCCGCUAUCGGGAGCAAGCCCCCUCCCACA